AUUGAACGCUGGCGGCAGGCCUAACACAUGCAAGUCGAGCGGAUGAAGGGAGCUUGCUCCUGGAUUCAGCGGCGGACGGGUGAGUAAUGCCUAGGAAUCUGCCUGGUAGUGGGGGAUAACGUCCGGAAACGGGCGCUAAUACCGCAUACGUCCUGAGGGAGAAAGUGGGGGAUCUUCGGACCUCACGCUAUCAGAUGAGCCUAGGUCGGAUUAGCUAGUUGGUGGGGUAAAGGCCUACCAAGGCGACGAUCCGUAACUGGUCUGAGAGGAUGAUCAGUCACACUGGCACUGAGACACGGUCCAGACUCCUACGGGAGGCAGCAGUGGAGAAUAUGGGACAAGGGGCGAAAGCCUGAUCCAGCCAUGCCGCGUGUGAAGAAGGUCUUCGGAUUGUAAAGCACUUUAAGUUGGGAGGAAGGGCAGUAAGUUAAUACCUUGCUGUUUUGACGUUACCAACAGAAUAAGCACCGGCUAACUUCGUG
This 482-nucleotide ribosomal RNA is filed under the name uncultured bacterium. RNAcentral describes it as "partial 16S ribosomal RNA". It matches the Rfam family "Bacterial small subunit ribosomal RNA", at positions 30 to 507 of the family's 1533-position model. The record is from RNAcentral.